CUUGGUCAUUUAGAGGAAGUAACGGUCGUAACAAGGUUUCCGUAGGUGAACCUGCGGAAGGAUCAUCAACAAAUCUAUACGAAGGGGGGUAAAAGCCCUUUCUAAACCAAUGUGAAUCGCGCACGCUUUGUGCGAUGUUAACUAUAUACCGAGUCGGAAAAAAACAUUAAUUAAAACAACUUUUAACAAUGGAUCUCUUGGCUCUUGCAACGAUGAAGAACGCAGUGAAUUGCGAUAAGUAAUGUGACUUGCAACCUCUGUGAAUCAUCAAAUCUUUGAACGCACCUUGCACUCUCUGGGUCUACUGGGGAGUAUACCUGUUUGAGUAUCAGAAAGUACUCUACACUGUGGUGUAGGUGUUGAGGCGUCAAGUGUUGUGCCUCUAAAGGGAUGCUGUGCGAGUGCGGUAGGAAUAGGUAGUAUUCUCCCACUUUUGAGCAGCCAACUUUUAUUGAACAUUUGAUCUCAAAUCAGGUAGGACUACCCGCUGAACUUAAGCAUAUCAAUAAGCGGAGGA
Molecule: ribosomal RNA, 517 nt
Filed under: uncultured fungus
Lineage: Eukaryota; Fungi
Description: eukaryotic LSU rRNA
Rfam family: 5.8S ribosomal RNA (bases 178-331)
Source: RNAcentral